UACGAAGGGGGCUAGCGUUGCUCGGAAUUACUGGGCGUAAAGCGCACGUAGGCGGCUUUCUAAGUCGGGGGUGAAAUCCUGGAGCUCAACUCCAGAACUGCCUUCGAUACUGGAGAGCUCGAGUCCGGGAGAGGUGAGUGGAACUACGAGUGUAGAGGUGAAAUUCGUAGAUAUUCGCAAGAACACCAGUGGCGAAGGCGGCUCACUGGCCCGGUACUGACGCUGAGGUGCGAAAGCGUGGGGAGCAAACAGG
Molecule: ribosomal RNA, 253 nt
Filed under: uncultured bacterium
Lineage: Bacteria
Description: partial 16S ribosomal RNA
Rfam family: Bacterial small subunit ribosomal RNA
Source: RNAcentral